UGUGUGUGUGUGUGACUGGUGGGCAGAGCUAGCUGUGUGUGUGUGUGUGACUGGUGGGCAGAGCUAGCUGUGUGUGUGUGUGACUGGUGGGCAGAGCUAGCUGUGUGUGUGUGUGACUGGUGGGCAGAGCUAGCUGUGUGUGUGUGUGACUGGUGGGCAGAGCUAGCUGUGUGUGUGUGUCUGUGUGACUGGUGGGCAGAGCUAGCUGUGUGACUGGUGGGCAGAGUUAGCUGUGUGACUGGUGGGCAGAGCUAGCUGUGUGUGUG
Oncorhynchus tshawytscha (Chinook salmon) is the source of this 266-nucleotide long non-coding RNA. Lineage: Eukaryota; Metazoa; Chordata; Actinopteri; Salmoniformes; Salmonidae. The record is from Ensembl.